Long non-coding RNA from Aotus nancymaae (Ma's night monkey), 630 nucleotides. The record is from Ensembl. NCBI's taxonomy places the organism in Eukaryota, Metazoa, Chordata, Mammalia, Primates, Aotidae.
GAAAUGCAACUGGGUGCAGUGACACACGCCUAUAGUCCCGGUUACUAGGAGGCUAAGGCAGAAGGAUCCCAUGAGUCCACGAGUUUGAAACCACCCUGAGCAACACAGUGAGAACCAGUCUCAAAAGAAAGGAAAAAAGAAGAUGAAGGAAGAUGAAGGAAGGAAGGAAGGAAGGAAGAAGAGGGAGUGAGGGAAAGGGGAAAGAAAGAAAAAAUGCAGCAUGUUCAAGUUAUUAUAAGGAAGAAAUUCUAGUUUUAGAUAAAGGUAGGAGAGGGUAAAUGUUGAGGAUGAAUCACUGGAAGAGUCAAACAGUGGAACAAUUUUCCCUGGAAUUCUGCCUGAGUGCAAUGGGCAUUAGAAAGAGCAUUACUGUGGUGGUAACACUGAAAGUUUUGCAGUGUCAAGCCAAUCACAGCAGGGCUCAUUUUCACAUCUAUGCGAAGACGGGAUUGAGCCAAUUGAACCUGAAGAUACCCUCUAUUUCGAAAGUGCUUGCAGUGUCAAAUAACAAGUGUUCUGGUGACCUAGUAGUCAUACGGAUCCAUCCAUUCGGACAUCCAAAUCAUGGGAAAGGAAGCCAAAAAUUCAAGGUAAAAUGUUUUUUUAAAAACUGAAUAAAUAAAUGUCUCU